UGGCGGACGGGUGAGUAAUGUCUGGGAAACUGCCUGAUGGAGGGGGAGUAACUACUGGAAACGGUAGCUAAUACCGCAUAACGUCGCAAGACCAAAGAGGGGGACCUUCGGGCCUCUUGCCAUCGGAUGUGCCCAGAUGGGAUUAGCUAGUAGGUGGGGUAACGGCUCACCUAGGCGACGAUCCCUAGCUAGUCUGAGAGGAUGACCAGCCACACUGGAACUGAGACACGGUCCAGACUCCUACGGGAGGCAGCAUG
This 257-nucleotide ribosomal RNA is filed under the name uncultured bacterium. RNAcentral's name for it is "partial 16S ribosomal RNA". It matches the Rfam family "Bacterial small subunit ribosomal RNA", at positions 96 to 353 of the family's 1533-position model. The record is from RNAcentral.